This 376-nucleotide ribosomal RNA is filed under the name uncultured bacterium. RNAcentral describes it as "partial 16S ribosomal RNA". It matches the Rfam family "Bacterial small subunit ribosomal RNA", at positions 338 to 732 of the family's 1533-position model. The record is from RNAcentral.
CCUACGGGUGGCAGCAGUGGGGAAUAUUGCACAAUGGGCGCAAGCCUGAUGCAGCAACGCCGCGUGAGCGAAGAAGGCCUUCUGGUCGUAAAGCUCUUUCCUCAAGGGAGAUAAUGACGGUACUUGAGGAGGAAGCCCCGUCUAACUACGUGCCAGCAGCCGCGGUAAUACGUCGGGGGCUAGCGUUAUCCGGAAUUACUGGGCGUAAAGGGUGCGUAGGUGGUUUCUUAAGUCAGAGGUAAAAGGCUACGGCUCAACCGUAGUAAGCCGUUGAAACUGGGAAACGUGAGUGCAGGAGAGGAGAGUGGAAUGCGUAGUGUAGCGGUGAAAUGCGUAGAUAUCAGGCAGAACACCAGUUGCGAAGGCAGCUCACUGG